RNAcentral lists this ribosomal RNA (520 nucleotides) under uncultured Glomus. RNAcentral's name for it is "SSU rRNA". It matches the Rfam family "Eukaryotic small subunit ribosomal RNA", at positions 569 to 1089 of the family's 1831-position model. Lineage: Eukaryota; Fungi; Glomeromycota; Glomeromycetes; Glomerales; Glomeraceae. The record is from RNAcentral.
AGCAGCCGCGGUAAUUCCAGCUCCAAUAGCGUAUAUUAAAGUUGUUGCAGUUAAAAAGCUCGUAGUUGAAUUUCGGGGUUAGUAGGUUGGUCAUGCCUCUGGUAUGUACUGGUCUCACUGAUUCCUCCUUCCUGAUGAGCCGUAAUGCCAUUAAUUUGGUGUUGCGGGGAAUUUGGACUGUUACUUUGAAAAAAUUUAGAGUGUUUAAAGCAAGCUAACGCUUGAAUACAUUAGCAUGGAAUAAUGAAAUAGGACGUUCGAUCCUAUUUUGUUGGUUUCUAAGAUUGACGUAGUGAUUAAUAGGGAUAGUUGGGGGCAUUAGUAUUCAAUUGUCAGAGGUGAAAUUCUUGGAUUUAUUGAAGACUAACUACUGCGAAAGCAUUUGCCAAGGAUGUUUUCAUUAAUCAAGAACGAAAGUUAGGGGAUCGAAGACGAUCAGAUACCGUCGUAGUCUUAACCAUAAACUAUGCCGACUAGGGAUCGGAUGAUGUUAAUUUUUUAAUGACUCAUUCGGCGCCUU